RNAcentral lists this unclassified non-coding RNA (678 nucleotides) under Hevea brasiliensis (rubber tree). Lineage: Eukaryota; Viridiplantae; Streptophyta; Magnoliopsida; Malpighiales; Euphorbiaceae. The record is from RNAcentral.
GGAUUUUUCAAGUCUCUCUCAGGUAUUUGCUUCUUCCUCUUUUCUUUUUCUUUGUGUUUUGAGGAUGGUUUCUUGUGAUGUGUGCAGCUGAUUAUGUAUAGCUAUCACCUUCUUGGCUCGCAAGAGUCUCGGUUAUAACGUACAUUUUCUGUUUUCCAAUUUUAAUUAUGUGAUCACUUUCAUUGUUAAUGUUCCUUUCUGCUGAAUCCCAUCAAACAAUAAAUGUAUUCUCAAUGGGCAUUCAGUUCAUGAUCUUAUUUAAUGUUUUAAUGGGUAUUUGGGAUUUACUUAACUGCGGAGAUAUUUGGAUUCAUACGACAAAAUUGUAUUGUCAAUCCAUUGAAAACUUGUUUUUUUGAAGUUAACCAAUUACAGAUUACUUAUGCUUUCCUCUUUGUAUAUGAGAUGUGGAUUAGUGUGAGUAUGACAAAUUAUAGUAACUACUUAUGUGGAAGAGGGAAUUUGUCAAUGGAAAACCAAGAAAUGGUAUAUCUGCUUGCCAGGGGACAAAAAAUUUUAUGAUUUGAUUUGAAGUAUAAAAUUUGGGAAUAAAAACUUCCGGGAAUUCAUAUCUUUAAUAUAUGUUUUUCUUCCAAGGCUUGUCAUUUUUUUUAUUGCUUUAUCAUUUAGUAGGUGGUUUUUGCUGUUGUGCUGUUGUUGAUUUCAUUAUUUAAUUGU